AGAUGGUCAUAACGAAAGAAAUGAACUUGUUAGUUAAGCAAACUUUAUGUUGCUUUUGCAUUUUUAUAUGAUGAACUAAAACUGCCUAGCAGCUCUUCCUUCUGUUUUAUUCCAUGCCUUGUCCAUCUGUUGUCCUGUUCCACCCCUCCUCCACAUAACACAAAGCCUUGGGCUCAGUCAGCCCAGGAAGAGGCUCUGGGGAUGAUUCAUGGGUUUGGGGAGAAGGGAGACACUGAUAGAUACAAUCUCUAAUUCAUUAACUGCAGGAAAACCAGAAAAUAUGUAUUCAAUAUGGCAGAGGUCUGAGAAAAGAGGAAAAGACAGUCUCUGAGUAACUAAAUGAGGCCUUUGAGAACUGGAUUAUGUUUCACUAUGCCUCAGAGUUCCUCUCUGAUGUUAGGUAAGUCACUCAGACCAAAUGUUUUUACAGUGCUAAUAAAUUGAUAUUAAUGCUCAUUUUCUCAGCUCCUCACUUCGUACCAAAGAGCCUUAUCUGCAGAAAUGUGAAGUACUGCAGACAUCCUAAAGCCGGUGUGAACUGGACUAAGAACACGCAGAGCUGUGUAAUGAAAAUUGGCCACUUGGAAUUAGUGGUUACCUUUGACAUUAAUCUUAAUUAAAUACUUCAUUAUAAUGUAUCUGCAGAACGAGGACAAAUUAAAGUUGCAUAGGCAAUUCUGGAUCCUGGCAUUUCUUAAGCCUUUGAUUUUUCAAUUUUAGUGAUGUUAAUAUGGCUUUGUGUACCUAUUGGUCAUUUAUUAGGAUUCAGUUAUUUACUUUUUUUUUUUUAUUAGCUUACUAGCUUUGAUGUAGUUGAAAUAUUUGCCUAACACUUUAAAUCUGUUAUAUCUCAGAAGCAUAAUCAUCAUGAAUGAAGUCAGUGAAAGUUCCAGGAUUAUUAUUUUUUUUUUACCCUGAAGAUUGUGAAUCUCUUGUAUUAAUCCAAUAAAUCACAAAUGGACACAGACAUUAUGACUACUAAGAUAAAUAAUGACUUACAUUGCAGCUUGUUACUGGCUCAAACUAUGGAACUGACUUCACCUAUCUUUGGAAGAAAAAUAGUGGAAAUGUAUGGGGAAAGAAGUAAACCAAAAAGAUUUAUGCAAACUGCAACAACUUGUCAGUCUGUUAGACUGCUGUUUCAGAGUAGAUAUUUAAUGAAGAUUAAACUGAUGGAAUAGGGGUUCUCUUUGUUUUUUAUAAUGGUUUCACAUACAUUUCCACAAGUGAUGAUGAAUUGUGGAUGGGAAUGAAAUUUACUAAAUGACUCAUCAGAAUCUGGGCUGAUGUGAGACAUUCCUUUUGUGACUCCUGUUUGCAAGCAUAUUCUGAGGAUGCUAACAAAAUACACGAACAAGCCAAGACCAAAAUCUCUGUUGUUUCAAGAUGACUGUAAAGAUUCUGUAAGUGAAAGCACCAGAACAAUCUGGGACGGCUACUAAAUUCUCUAUAUUUUCCUGUAGCUGCUAGGUCUAGUUUUCUCUCCUGGCUUAAGCAUGUUCAUGAAUUUCCUGGCCUUCUCAGCUGAAUAUUUACAGAAGCAUAACUUUUCAUCUAAGUUUUUGUGCAGGUUAUACGUUCAGUAGUUUUAGUUUAAGUACAUCAUUCACUAUUCUUUUAUAUUGGGAACAGUAACAAAAUUAGAAAGGCAAAGGAGUUUCCAGGGGUUUGACCUUAUGAGAGCUAUGCUCACUGGUAUAUUUUGGCCUGAUUUUCUCCAGGGAUUAUAGGGAUAUAUUUGCUGCAUGAGGUUUUGCAGUCCCUACUGUUCAAGGAAUCUCUUUAACCUCUCUAGCCUGUGACUGCUGGACUCCACCACCUCUUUGAGAGGUUAGAUAGUCUAAUUUGAUAAAAAUAUCUAAGGUCUUCUGCCAAACUACAAUUUUGAGAGUAUUCUGAAAAGAGACCCAGAUGAAACUUUACAAAUUCCAGUGAGCAUUAGGUCUUUGACUAAUUCCAUGAAACAAUUUAUUUACAUUUAGCCAACACAUUUAUCAGAACUACAUAAAUUAUCAUAUAAAGUCAGCUUAGUUGAAACUGUGAUGUUAAUGUGUUAUCAUUAGUCACUCACUGUUGGUUACAGUCAUGAGUAAGGCUGAAGAUUUACAAUUUUUAUUGUGUCAUAGCAUAUGGAAAUCAAGUGUCUGACACUUUGAAUUGUGCCAAUAAAAGUGUUUUGUUUGUCUUCA
Molecule: long non-coding RNA, 2189 nt
Organism: Zonotrichia albicollis (white-throated sparrow)
Lineage: Eukaryota; Metazoa; Chordata; Aves; Passeriformes; Passerellidae
Source: Ensembl